RNAcentral lists this microRNA (21 nucleotides) under Callorhinchus milii (elephant shark). Its description in RNAcentral is "eshark_NOVEL_184". Lineage: Eukaryota; Metazoa; Chordata; Chondrichthyes; Chimaeriformes; Callorhinchidae. The record is from RNAcentral.
UCUCGGUAAUGGAAAAAGAAC